This 465-nucleotide ribosomal RNA is filed under the name uncultured bacterium. RNAcentral's name for it is "partial 16S ribosomal RNA". It matches the Rfam family "Bacterial small subunit ribosomal RNA", at positions 28 to 507 of the family's 1533-position model. The record is from RNAcentral.
GACGAACGCUGGCGGCGUGCUUAACACAUGCAAGUCGAACGGAAAGGCCCUGCUUGCAGGGUACUCGAGUGGCGAACGGGUGAGUAACACGUGGGUGAUCUGCCCUGCACUUCGGGAUAAGCCUGGGAAACUGGGUCUAAUACCGGAUAGGAGCCAUUUUUAGUGUGAUGGUUGGAAAGUUUUUUCGGUGUAGGAUGAGCUCGCGGCCUAUCAGCUUGUUGGUGGGGUAAUGGCCUACCAAGGCGGCGACGGGUAGCCGGCCUGAGAGGGUGGACGGCCACAUUGGGACUGAGAUACGGCCCAGACUCCUACGGGAGGCAGCAGUGGGGAAUAUUGCACAAUGGGCGCAAGCCUGAAGCAGCGACGCCGCGUGGGGGAUGACGGCCUUCGGGUUGUAAACUCCUUUCGCUAGGGACGAAGCUUUUUGUGACGGUACCUAGAUAAGAAGCACCGGCUAACUACGUG